Molecule: ribosomal RNA, 316 nt
Filed under: uncultured eukaryote
Lineage: Eukaryota
Description: partial 18S ribosomal RNA
Rfam family: Eukaryotic small subunit ribosomal RNA
Source: RNAcentral
CCCUUAGAUGUUCUGGGCCGCACGCGUGCUACACUGACCGGCGCAACAAGUUUCUUUCCUUGGCUCGAUAGGCCUGGGUAAUCUUUGAACGCCGGUCGUGAUGGGGAUAGAUCCUUGCAAUUUUUGAUCUUCAACGAGGAAUUCCUAGUAAAUGCGAGUCAUCAUCUCGCGUUGAUUACGUCCCUGCCCUUUGUACACACCGCCCGUCGCACCUACCGAUUGAAUGGUCCGGUGAAGCCUAGGGAUUGCGAAUGCUUCGUGCGGACGCGAGAACUUGGCUAAACCUUACCAUUUAGAGGAAGGUGAAGUCGUAACA